GUAGGUGGCAAGCGUUGUCCGGAAUUAUUGGGCGUAAAGCGCGCGCAGGUGGUUCUUUAAGUCUGAUGUGAAAGCCACCGGCUCAACCGGGGAGGGUCAUUGGAAACUGGGGAACUUGAGUGCAGGAGAGGAAAGUGGAAUUCCACGUGUAGCGGUGAAAUGCGUAGAUAUGUGGAGGAACACCAGUGGCGAAGGCGACUUUCUGGCCUGUAACUGACACUGAGGCGCGAAAGCGUGGGGAGCAAACAGGGAUUAGAUACCCUGGUAGUCCACGCCGUAAACGAUGAGUGCUAAGUGUUGGGGGGGUUUCCCGCCCCUCAGUGCUGCAGCUAACGCAUUAAGCACUCCGCCUGGGGAGUACGGUCGCAAGACUG
This 374-nucleotide ribosomal RNA is filed under the name uncultured organism. Its description in RNAcentral is "partial 16S ribosomal RNA". It matches the Rfam family "Bacterial small subunit ribosomal RNA", at positions 527 to 896 of the family's 1533-position model. The record is from RNAcentral.